RNAcentral lists this ribosomal RNA (207 nucleotides) under Fusarium falciforme. RNAcentral describes it as "5.8S ribosomal RNA". The stretch from base 52 to 205 matches the Rfam family "5.8S ribosomal RNA". From Rfam's summary of the family: 5.8S ribosomal RNA (5.8S rRNA) is a component of the large subunit of the eukaryotic ribosome. It is transcribed by RNA polymerase I as part of the 45S precursor that also contains 18S and 28S rRNA. The record is from RNAcentral. Lineage: Eukaryota; Fungi; Ascomycota; Sordariomycetes; Hypocreales; Nectriaceae. RNAcentral also lists the same sequence under 1 other name.
UAACUCUGUUUCUAUUAUGUUUCUUCUGAGUAAAACAAGCAAAUAAAUUAAAACUUUCAACAACGGAUCUCUUGGCUCUGGCAUCGAUGAAGAACGCAGCGAAAUGCGAUAAGUAAUGUGAAUUGCAGAAUUCAGUGAAUCAUCGAAUCUUUGAACGCACAUUGCGCCCGCCAGUAUUCUGGCGGGCAUGCCUGUUCGAGCGUCAUU